UACAGAGGGCGCGAGCGUUGUCCGGAAUCACUGGGCGUAAAGGGCGCGUAGGUGGCCACUAUAAGGCCGCGGUGAAAGUUCGGGGCUCAACCCUGAAUCGGCCGCGGCGACUGUAGGGCUUGGGCACUGUAGAGGCAGAUGGAAUUCCGGGUGUAGCGGUGGAAUGCGUAGAUAUCAGGAAGAACACCCGUGGCGAAGGCGGCUCUCUGGGACGGUACUGACGCUGAGACGCGAAAGCGUGGGGAGCGAACAGG
Molecule: ribosomal RNA, 254 nt
Filed under: uncultured bacterium
Lineage: Bacteria
Description: partial 16S ribosomal RNA
Rfam family: Bacterial small subunit ribosomal RNA
Source: RNAcentral